UUUUUAAUUCGUAUUGUUAAAAAUCUUUUAAGAACUGCGGUGGAAUGGAGGACAGCAUCCACGAGUUUAGAUUGAUUGGACGCACUGUCAUCUUCUUGUGCUGUCCGAAGGGCUGAAGCUUCUUUCCUCUUUUUUUAAGUAAGAGGGAGCCGCUCUGCAACUUGGAUUUUCCAAUUUUGGAAAUUUUAGGGUUACUUUAAGCUCCGCACGCGGUUUCGGUCCUUGAGGAUAAGUCUUGCAAGGACUAUUGUUUUUGCGGUGGGUACUGUCGACUUGGAGCUGAAUUAUGCGUUAGUUGAAGAGGAAUCUCGCUUUUAUGCGGCUUCUGCAAGUUUUUUUGGUUCCUUCGUGCUGAUUAUUCCGUGUGAGCCCUAGAAAUAGUUUCGAUGACGGGUUGAUGCUAGCAAAAAACGAGUUGAGAAAGAGAUGAUUAACAGCUGCGGUUUUGAUUCAGUUCGAACUGAAUAAUGGUUCUGAUGGGGAAAUUACCGACCUCAUCCAACCAUGUUGAUCUGCUUUAUUAAUUUAGCUGAUUUGGACGUGGAAAGCCUUCUCCUUGGUUAACAUGGAAGGGAGCGCUGAACUUAACGAGUCUAUGGAAAACUCAGCCGAGACUCCUCAUCUUAAAAGAAAAGAAAAUGAUCAAUUGCACUCUCAAACGGAUUGCAUUGCAUUUCAAAUUCAAAACCCAGCUCCAGUUAUCUCAGAAGAAACUGGUUGGACUGAGCAUCUUUCAUCAUUGAGAUCACCUGAAAUGCUACUAGAGACUUUAGCAGGUAAAGGUUCACAUCAUGAUUUAGGACGACAUUGUGUUUCAGAACCUCCUGCAAGCUCUUGUCCUUCAAACUAUCCUGGAACAGUUAUGGAAAAGUUAACAUUGAGGAAUGUCAAUUCUCCCAAAGUAUUGUAUACUAGUGGUGUCCCUGGCUCUGUGGAAGAUUCUCCUAUUAGGAAAGGGCUGUGGCACAAUUUGACAAGAAUAGUGGGUGGAUCUAGAACAGAUUCAGUGCCCAAUGAAUUUUUGAGAGUUGGGGAUGGAGGAAAAGGUGUUGGAUCUUUUAUGCCUCAAUCUAUGGUGAAAAGGAAUCUUCAAUUCACACAGUUAAACUUAAAUCAUUUGAAAACCCCUAAUAAUGUAGUAGAAGGUGAUAGCAAGGAUUUUUCAAAGAGUGACAUUGCUCGUCAUCCUACUGUUAAUAGUACAAAAGUUUUAAGUGCAUCAGGAUUUAGACAAUUUUUAAUGAAGAGCACCUUGAAGGGUAAAGGCAUCGCAUAUAGCCAGCAAAGAACAGAUAAUGAUUCUGGACCUUUUACCCAAAGCCAAGAUAAUGUUGGUAUAGAUGAUCACAAGAUGAAAGCUUCUGAAUCAUCGCACAAACCAAUUGCAAAGGCAGAUGAAAUGGCCUUACUUGGUGGCAGUGUUGAGUGUGUUGAUUCAAAUGUCCAGCAUGAUGGGACUACUUUGAGGGAUUGGCUUAAACAAAACCAUCGUAUGUCUAGCAAAUUUGAGAGACUGCAGAUUUUUAAGCAGAUCUUGAAACUUGUUGAUGCUUCACACUCUCAAGGCCAUGCUUUACAGCAUUUAAAACCGUCACAUUUUGUAGUACCUUCGUCAGGAUUUGUUAAAUAUAUAGGCUCAAUAAAUGCUAAAGUGCAGGCAGGGAGUUGGUUGUUUUCAAUAAAUCAUCAAGAUAUUGGACUGGAGACACAUCUUAAAAGGAAGAGAUCCAUGGAAUAUGAUACAAAGUUGCAGGAUUCUUUAUCACAUAAACAAUUAAAACUAGGUUGUGAUCAGGAGUUGCAGGGAACUUUAUCACGAAAACAUCAGAGACUACGUGGAAAGAAUCAAACUGUUGUCCAGCUCCAAAAAUACCCCUCUAGAACUGCUGAUCUGCAGGGAAGUCUAGCUGAGGAAGUCUAUGAUGGUGAUAUCAGAACAGCAAGUUUUGAUGAAGAAUUCAGUGAACAAAUUCACUUGGUUGAUUUGUACAAGAGUUCUAAAAUCCCUGCACGUAAAAAUAUCUUUGACUUUAGUUUUCAAGAACCUGCAUCUGGAAUUUUGAGUCUGGAAGACAGAUGGUAUGCCAGCCCUGAGAAGCUGAAUGCAAAUUCUUGCCCUUUAUCUUCAAAUAUCUACAGUCUAGGCGUUUUGUUCUUUGAGCUAUUCUGCUCUUUUGAGACAGAAGAAGUGCAUCUUGCUGCAAUGUCUAAUCUCCGACACAGGAUUCUUCCUCCAAGCUUUUUAUCGGAGUGUCCCAAGGAAGCUGGUUUUUGUCUUUGGUUGCUUCAUCCUGAUCCUUCUGCCCGGCCAAAGUCAAGGGAAAUCUCGUCAAGCAACUUAAUAUUUGAAUGCAACAACGUUUCGGCUAUAGAUCAAUUAUCAGUAUCUAUAGAUGAAGAAGAUGCUGAAGCAUACCUCUUAUUACAGUUUCUUUCAUCUUUGAAGGACCAAAAUGAAAAUCAGGCUGCCAAGUUGGUGGCUGAUAUUCAUUGCUUAGAAACGGACAUUGCGGAGGUUGAGAGGCGGUAUUUAUCAGGAGUUGAGUCUAUUUCUAAUGCCAAUGGUUUGCCGGCUAGCUCUAGAGACAACUCAGAUGUGUCAAUUCAGAUUGGAACAAUGCUUUCAUGGUCUGUAUCAAAUGUAAACGAAGAAAGAUUGAUGAAGAAUAUUGAGCAGCUCAAACACGCAUACUUCUAUAUGAGAUCCAAUGUUAAACUUUCAGAAACUAAUGUUGCAACACGAUCUGAUAUAGGUGUCCUUAGGAUUCGUGAUAAUUUCUCUCAGUUCCAGGAUGCGGCUGGUAUAAAGGAGGAAUCUACCGACUGCCUUGGUUCUUUUUUUGAAGGUUUAUGCAAAUAUGCGCGAUACAGCAAAUUUGAAGUUCGGGGCAGCAUUAGAAAUGUGGAUAUCCUUAAUUCUGCAAAUGUCAUCUGCUCAUUGAGCUUUGACCGUGAUGAAGAAUACUUUGCUGCUGCUGGGGUUUCAAAGAAAAUUAAGAUCUUUGAAUUUGGGGCUCUUUUAAAUGAGGCUUUUGAUGUUCACUACCCAUUGAUUGAAAUGUCAAGUAGAUCAAAGCUCAGUUGUGUUAGUUGGAAUAAUUACAUCAAGAACUACUUAGCAUCAACCGAUUAUGAUGGUGUUGUACAGUUAUGGGAUGCAAACACUGGUCAAGGGUUUACACAGUAUGCAGAGCAUGAAAAGAGAGCUUGGUCUGUUGAUUUCUCUUCAGUGGAUCCAACUAAGCUGGCAAGUGGGAGUGAUGAUUGUUCCGUGAAGCUCUGGAGUAUUAAAGAGAGAAAUUGCAUUGCUACAAUUAGAAAUGUGGCUAAUGUGUGCUGUGUUCAAUUCUCGCCUCAUUCGUCUCAUUUAUUGACCUUUGGCUCUGCUGAUAACAAGAUAUUCUGUUAUGAUCUGCGGAACACUAGAGGUCCGUGGUGUACUUUAUCUGGACAUGGAAAGGCUGUGAGCUAUGUGAAAUUUGUGGACUCAGACACCCUUGUCUCUGCUUCAACUGAUAAUACGCUCAAGUUAUGGGAUCUUAACAAAUCCAGCACAAGUGGGCUGUCCAGUAAUGCUUGCAGCCUGACCUUUACCGGUCAUACCAAUGAGAAGAAUUUUGUAGGUUUAACAGUUUUAGAUGGAUUUAUAGCAUGCGGUUCAGAGACAAACGAAGUUUAUGCUUACCACAAAGCUCUUCCAAUGCCUAUUACUUCGCACAAGUUUGGCUCCAUUGAUCCAAUUACUGGACAAGAAACUGGCGAUGAUAAUGGACAGUUCGUAUCUAGUGUCUGCUGGAGGACCAAAUCAAACAUGAUAGUUGUUGCAAAUUCCAGUGGCAGCUUAAAGCUAUUACAGUUGGUUUAAUUGAAAGAAAAUAAAGCGAGUCGAGUAAUUUAACACCAGUUCUGACUGGAGGAAACAUUCCAAUAUUACCAUGUUCAAAGGUCACUUAACUCUCCUCCUAACUUCAUAUAUAUAUAUAAGAUUAUUAGUUUAUGACACGCUCCCAUAGUGAUGAAGAUCGAUUCUAUUGAUGAUAAUGGCAUUUUUCUACGUCAAGUUUUUGCCAUGUCAGGUUUAUCACUGAGAAAGAAUUAAAAGGCAUUUUACCUUUUGGAACUUGAAGAAACCAAUAUGAUGCAGAAACUUGUAUGUUGACAAGGGCUUGUAACUGUUAUCUGGUGAAGAUUAUGUCCAAAGUUGCAAUGAGAAGCCAACUAGCAGCUACAGCUUAUUUUCAUGGUAUCCUUUUGAUACGAUUGCAGAUAUCUGUAAAAAAUAUAUAGAAUUGUUAUGAUGGAAGUAAUUUUCUUAAAAUUAUUAUGAGUA
RNA transcript from Dendrobium catenatum, 4330 nucleotides. It is a transcript of the gene named protein SUPPRESSOR OF PHYA-105 1, with no coding region annotated. The record is from RefSeq and is a predicted model, not a curated record. The transcript has 10 exons. NCBI's taxonomy places the organism in Eukaryota, Viridiplantae, Streptophyta, Magnoliopsida, Asparagales, Orchidaceae.